RNAcentral lists this small RNA (733 nucleotides) under Pan troglodytes (chimpanzee). RNAcentral's name for it is "retained intron". The record is from RNAcentral. Lineage: Eukaryota; Metazoa; Chordata; Mammalia; Primates; Hominidae.
GAAAGCACAGUUUAUUUUGUGGGUGGGGCUUCAGGUGCCAGCCAGCUGAAGGAUGGCCACCCCUGUGGUCACCAAGACAGCCUGGAAGUUGCAAGAGAUCGUCGCGCAUGCCAGCAAUGUGUCCUCACUGGUGCUGGGCAAAGCCUCCGGGCGGCUGCUGGCUACAGGCGGGGAUGACUGCCGCGUCAACCUGUGGUCCAUCAACAAGCCCAACUGCAUCAUGAGCCUGACGGGCCACACAUCCCCAGUGGAGAGCGUCCGCCUCAACACCCCCGAGGAGCUCAUCGUGGCCGGCUCUCAGUCGGGCUCCAUCCGUGUCUGGGACCUGGAAGCUGCCAAAAUUCUUCGCACACUCAUGGGACACAAAGCCAACAUCUGCAGCCUGGAUUUCCACCCGUACGGCGAGUUUGUAGCCUCUGGUUCCCAGGACACAAACAUCAAGCUCUGGGACAUCAGGAGGAAAGGCUGUGUCUUCCGAUACAGGGGGCACAGCCAGGCCGUGCGGUGUCUCCGGUUCAGCCCCGAUGGGAAGUGGUUGGCGUCAGCCGCAGAUGACCACACCGUGAAGCUCUGGGAUCUCACUGCCGGCAAGAUGAUGUCUGAGUUCCCUGGUCACACGGGGCCUGUCAACGUGGUCGAGUUUCACCCCAACGAGUACCUCCUGGCCUCCGGCAGCUCUGACAGGUGAGGAGGAGGAGCGAGGCGAGUUGCUUGUGACUGCUGUCCUUCACCA